GAUGAACGCUGGCGGCGUGCCUAAUACAUGCAAGUCGAGCGAACAGACGAGGAGCUUGCUCCUCUGACGUUAGCGGCGGACGGGUGAGUAACACGUGGAUAACCUACCUAUAAGACUGGGAUAACUUCGGGAAACCGGAGCUAAUACCGGAUAAUAUAUUGAACCGCAUGGUUCAAUAGUGAAAGACGGUUUUGCUGUCACUUAUAGAUGGAUCCGCGCCGCAUUAGCUAGUUGGUAAGGUAACGGCUUACCAAGGCAACGAUGCGUAGCCGACCUGAGAGGGUGAUCGGCCACACUGGAACUGAGAAACGGUCCAGACUCCUACGGGAGGCAGCAGUAGGGAAUCGUCCGCAAUGGGCGAAAGCUUGACGGAGCAACGCCGCGUGAGUGAUGAAGGUCUUCGGAUCGUAAAACUCUGUUAUUAGGGAAAAACAAAUGUGUAAGUAACUAUGCACGUCUUGACGGUACCUAAUCAGAAAGCCACGGCUAACUACGUG
Molecule: ribosomal RNA, 497 nt
Filed under: uncultured bacterium
Lineage: Bacteria
Description: partial 16S ribosomal RNA
Rfam family: Bacterial small subunit ribosomal RNA
Source: RNAcentral